This 467-nucleotide ribosomal RNA is filed under the name uncultured bacterium. RNAcentral's name for it is "bacterial SSU rRNA". It matches the Rfam family "Bacterial small subunit ribosomal RNA", at positions 328 to 793 of the family's 1533-position model. The record is from RNAcentral.
UGUCCAGACUCCUACGGGAGGCAGCAGUGAGGAAUAUUGGUCAAUGGGCGGGAGCCUGAACCAGCCAAGUCGCGUGAGGGACGACGGUCCUAUGGAUUGUAAACCUCUUUUGUCGGGGAACAAAGGCGCCCACGGGUGGGCGGAUGAGUGUACCCGAAGAAAAAGCAUCGGCUAACUCCGUGCCAGCAGCCGCGGUAAUACGGAGGAUGCGAGCGUUAUCCGGAUUUAUUGGGUUUAAAGGGUGCGUAGGCGGGCCGGUAAGUCAGCGGUAAAAAGGCGGAGCUCAACUCCGUCGAGCCGUUGAAACUGCCGUUCUUGAGUGAGCGAGAAGUAUGCGGAAUGCGUGGUGUAGCGGUGAAAUGCAUAGAUAUCACGCAGAACUCCGAUUGCGAAGGCAGCAUACCGGCGCUCAACUGACGCUGAAGCACGAAGGCGUGGGUAUCGAACAGGAUUAGAUACCCCGGUAU